UGGGGGAUAUUGCACAAUGGGCGAAAGCCUGAUGCAGCGACGCCGCGUGGGGGAUGAAGACUUUCGGGUUGUAAACCUCUUUCGCUAUCGAACAAGGCCCGCUUAGGGUGGGUUGAGGGUAGGUGGAGAAGAAGCGCCGGCUAACUACGUGCCAGCAGCCGCGGUAAUACGUAGGGCGCGAGCGUUGUCCGGAAUUAUUGGGCGUAAAGGGCUUGUAGGCGGCUUGUUGCGCCUGCUGUGAAAACGCGGGGCUUAACUUCGCGCGUGCAGUGGGUACGGGCAGGCUUGAGUGUGGUAUGGGUGACUGGAAUUCCAGGUGUAGCGGUGGAAUGCGCAGAUAUCUGGAGGAACACCGAUGGCGAAGGCAGGUCACUGGGCCAUUACUGACGCUGAGGAGCGAAAGCAUGGGUAGCGAACAGG
This 420-nucleotide ribosomal RNA is filed under the name bacterium. RNAcentral's name for it is "partial 16S ribosomal RNA". It matches the Rfam family "Bacterial small subunit ribosomal RNA", at positions 355 to 776 of the family's 1533-position model. The record is from RNAcentral.